UUAACUAUUAUAUAGUACUCAGACGACACUAAUAUUCAGGGUUGGGGUCCUCCGGCGGGCGCUCCCCCGCUGAAGCCGGGGCGCGGCUAGGCCUCGUGGCCCGCCAAAGCAACAAACAUAGUAUGCAAGGGUGGGAGUUCUGACCCUUUUCAGGGAACAGAAAACACUUUAAUGAUCCUUCCGCAGGUUCACCUACGGAAA
Molecule: unclassified non-coding RNA, 201 nt
Filed under: uncultured fungus
Lineage: Eukaryota; Fungi
Description: sequence contains ITS1
Source: RNAcentral